Molecule: non-coding RNA, 396 nt
Organism: Phascolarctos cinereus (koala)
Lineage: Eukaryota; Metazoa; Chordata; Mammalia; Diprotodontia; Phascolarctidae
Source: RefSeq, a predicted model, not a curated record
ACAGCAGAAGAGCAGAUAAAAGCUGGGAGGAGACUCUCUGUGCAAAUCUUUGAAAAAUUGUGAACAAUUGGUUAAAGGCUGGAGGGGAGUAAAGGCUUUUUGUUACAGAGCUGCUGAGAACCCUGAAAGCUAAAGCUGCAGUUCAAAAUAAACCAAAGAGAAGGCUUCAGGAUGAAGAAGGUUCAGGAUGAGUUUUCUGGGCAGGUUUUAAAGAAUACCAGAGUUGUGGUACAAAGAGAAAUUGUGGCAAUAAGAUUGAAAAAAAUCAUAUGGCCAUGGCUUCAGAAUACCAGGGAAAAAAAUGGAUCCUUGUCAGGCGUGCUGAGUUACCUUAUUAGCCACUGAUUUGGUCUUGAACAAAAUGAAUGUUGUAAAACAAAACCAAUGCAACCAAGA